This is a non-coding RNA of Triticum urartu, 135 nucleotides long. The record is from Rfam. Lineage: Eukaryota; Viridiplantae; Streptophyta; Magnoliopsida; Poales; Poaceae.
CAACUACUCCCUUUGUCCCAAAUUUCUUGUCUUAGAUUUGUCUAAAUACAUAUGUGUCUAAUACUAAAAUGUGACUUGGUACAUCCGUAUCUAGAAAAUGUGAGAAAAAAAAAUUUGGGACAGAGGGAGUAGUUG